UGGGGAAUCUUGGACAAUGGGGGCAACCCUGAUCCAGCAAUGCCGCGUGUGGGAUGAAGGCCUUCGGGUUGUAAACCACUUUUGGCGGGGGCGAAAUAUCGAGUGCUAAUACCAUUCGGUGAUGACGGUACCCGCAGAAUAAGCACCGGCUAACUACGUGCCAGCAGCCGCGGUAAUACGUAGGGUGCAAGCGUUAAUCGGAAUUACUGGGCGUAAAGCGUGCGCAGGCGGUUAGGUAAGACAGGUGUGAAAUUCCCGGGCUCAACCUGGGAACUGCAUUUGUGACUGCCUGACUAGAGUGCGGCAGAGGGGAGUGGAAUUCCGCGUGUAGCAGUGAAAUGCGUAGAUAUGCGGAGGAACACCGAUGGCGAAGGCAACUCCCUGGGCCUGCACUGACGCUCAUGCACGAAAGCGUGGGGAGCAAACAGGAUUAGAUACCCUGGUAGUCCACGCCCUAAAACGAUGUCGACUAGUUGUUGGACGGGUUACUGUUCAGUAACGAAGCUAACGCGUGAAGUCG
This 520-nucleotide ribosomal RNA is filed under the name uncultured bacterium. RNAcentral describes it as "partial 16S ribosomal RNA". It matches the Rfam family "Bacterial small subunit ribosomal RNA", at positions 355 to 867 of the family's 1533-position model. The record is from RNAcentral.